AACGCACCUUGCGCUCCUUGGUAUUCCGAGGAGCAUGCCUGUUUGAGUGUCAUGAAACUCUCAACCUCCAACUUUCUUAAUAGUGGUUGGCGGCUUGGACUUGAGCGCUGCUGGUUUUUAUUAACCGGCUCGCUUGAAAUGAAUUAGCAGAUCCUUUUUGUAAUCGGUUCCACUCGACGUAAUAAGUAUUUCGCCGAGGACAUCUUAACGGAUGGCCGAGAUAAAGAAAGUCUUUAGAUCCGCUUCUAAUUCUUAGAUAACGCAAGUUACUAAACCCAUUUUAUGAUCUGGCCUCAAAUCAGGUAGGACUACCCGCUGAACUUAA
This 325-nucleotide unclassified non-coding RNA is filed under the name uncultured Cystofilobasidiales. RNAcentral describes it as "sequence contains ITS2". The stretch from base 1 to 52 matches the Rfam family "5.8S ribosomal RNA", at positions 103 to 154 of the family's 154-position model. Lineage: Eukaryota; Fungi; Basidiomycota; Tremellomycetes; Cystofilobasidiales. The record is from RNAcentral.